UACGGAGGGGGCUAGCGUUGUUCGGAAUUACUGGGCGUAAAGCGCACGUAGGCGGACUGUUAAGUCGGGGGUGAAAUCCUGGGGCUCAACCUCAGAAUUGCCUCCGAUACUGGCAGUCUCGAGUGGGGGAGAGGUGAGUGGAAUUCCCAGUGUAGAGGUGAAAUUCGUAGAUAUUGGGAAGAACACCAGUGGCGAAGGCGGCUCACUGGCCCGUAACUGACGCUGAGGUGCGAAAGCGUGGGGAGCAAACAGG
Molecule: ribosomal RNA, 253 nt
Filed under: uncultured bacterium
Lineage: Bacteria
Description: partial 16S ribosomal RNA
Rfam family: Bacterial small subunit ribosomal RNA
Source: RNAcentral